RNAcentral lists this ribosomal RNA (602 nucleotides) under Thygater anae. Its description in RNAcentral is "SSU rRNA". It matches the Rfam family "Eukaryotic small subunit ribosomal RNA", at positions 549 to 1112 of the family's 1831-position model. RNAcentral also lists the same sequence under 7 other names. Lineage: Eukaryota; Metazoa; Arthropoda; Insecta; Hymenoptera; Apidae. The record is from RNAcentral.
UGGAGGGCAAGUCUGGUGCCAGCAGCCGCGGUAAUUCCAGCUCCAAUAGCGUAUAUUAAAGUUGUUGCGGUUAAAAAGCUCGUAGUUGAAUCUGUGUGUCACAGUGUCGGUUCACCGCUCGCGGUGUCUAACUGGCAUUAUGUGGUACGUCCUACCGGUGGGCUUAGCUCCUUGCGGGCGGUCCAACUAAUCUCCCAUCGCGGUGCUCUUCACUGAGUGUCGAGGUGGGCCGGUACGUUUACUUUGAACAAAUUAGAGUGCUCAAAGCAGGCUACCUUCGCCUGAAUACUGCGUGCAUGGAAUAAUGGAAUAGGACCUCGGUUCUAUUUUGUUGGUUUUCGGAACCCCGAGGUAAUGAUUAAUAGGGACAGAUGGGGGCAUUCGUAUUGCGACGUUAGAGGUGAAAUUCUUGGAUCGUCGCAAGACGGACUAAAGCGAAAGCAUUUGCCAAAAAUGUUUUCAUUAAUCAAGAACGAAAGUUAGAGGUUCGAAGGCGAUCAGAUACCGCCCUAGUUCUAACCAUAAACGAUGCCAGCUAGCGAUCCGCCGAAGUUCCUCCGAUGACUCGGCGGGCAGCUUCCGGGAAACCAAAGCUUUUGGGU